GUUGUACUCCCUCCGUUCGGAAUUACUUGUCUCGGAAAUGAUUGUAUCUAGAACUAAAAUACGUCUAGAUACAACCAUUUUCACGACAAGUAAUUCCGAACAAAGGGAGUAGAAU
This is a non-coding RNA of Triticum aestivum (bread wheat), 115 nucleotides long. The record is from Rfam. Lineage: Eukaryota; Viridiplantae; Streptophyta; Magnoliopsida; Poales; Poaceae.